RNAcentral lists this ribosomal RNA (1493 nucleotides) under metagenome. RNAcentral describes it as "bacterial SSU rRNA". It matches the Rfam family "Bacterial small subunit ribosomal RNA". The record is from RNAcentral.
AGAGUUUGAUCCUGGCUCAGAUUGAACGCUGGCGGAAUGCUUUACACAUGCAAGUCGUACGGCAGCACGAGGGCAACCUUGGUGGCGAGUGGCGAACGGGUGAGUAAUACAUCGGAACGUGCCCAAUCGUGGGGGAUAACGUAGCGAAAGCUACGCUAAUACCGCAUACGAUCUACGGAUGAAAGCGGGGGAUCGCAAGACCUCGCGCGAAUGGAGCGGCCGAUGGCAGAUUAGGUAGUUGGUGGGGUAAAGGCUCACCAAGCCGACGAUCUGUAGCUGGUCUGAGAGGACGACCAGCCACACUGGGACUGAGACACGGCCCAGACUCCUACGGGAGGCAGCAGUGGGGAAUUUUGGACAAUGGGCGCAAGCCUGAUCCAGCCAUUCCGCGUGCAGGAUGAAGGCCUUCGGGUUGUAAACUGCUUUUGUACGGAACGAAACGGCCUUUUCUAAUACAGAGGGCUAAUGACGGUACCGUAAGAAUAAGCACCGGCUAACUACGUGCCAGCAGCCGCGGUAAUACGUAGGGUGCAAGCGUUAAUCGGAAUUACUGGGCGUAAAGCGUGCGCAGGCGGUUAUGUAAGACAGAUGUGAAAUCCCCGGGCUCAACCUGGGAACUGCAUUUGUGACUGCAUAGCUAGAGUAUGGUAGAGGGGGAUGGAAUUCCGCGUGUAGCAGUGAAAUGCGUAGAUAUGCGGAGGAACACCGAUGGCGAAGGCAAUCCCCUGGACCUGUACUGACGCUCAUGCACGAAAGCGUGGGGAGCAAACAGGAUUAGAUACCCUGGUAGUCCACGCCCUAAACGAUGUCAACUGGUUGUUGGGUCUUCACUGACUCAGUAACGAAGCUAACGCGUGAAGUUGACCGCCCGGGGAGUACGGCCGCAAGGUUGAAGCUCAAAGGAAUUGACGGGGACCCGCACAAGCGGUGGAUGAUGUGGUUUAAUUCGAUGCAACGCGAAAAACCUUACCCACCUUUGACAUGUACGGAAUUUGCCAGAGAUGGCUUAGUGCUCGAAAGAGAACCGUAACACAGGUGCUGCAUGGCUGUCGUCAGCUCGUGUCGUGAGAUGUUGGGUUAAGUCCCGCAACGAGCGCAACCCUUGUCAUUAGUUGCUACAUUUAGUUGGGCACUCUAAUGAGACUGCCGGUGACAAACCGGAGGAAGGUGGGGAUGACGUCAAGUCCUCAUGGCCCUUAUAGGUGGGGCUACACACGCCAUACAAUGGCCGGUACAAAGGGCUGCCAACCCGCGAGGGGGAGCUAAUCCCAUAAAACCGGUCGUAGUCCGGAUCGCAGUCUGCAACUCGACUGCGUGAAGUCGGAAUCGCUAGUAAUCGUGGAUCAGAAUGUCACGGUGAAUACGUUCCCGGGUCUUGUACACACCGCCCGUCACACCAUGGGAGCGGGUUCUGCCAGAAGUAGUUAGCCUAACCGCAAGGAGGGCGAUUACCACGGCAGGGUUCGUGACUGGGGUGAAGUCGUAACAAGGUA